GAAAUGCGAUAAGUAGUGUGAAUUGCAGAAUUCAGUGAAUCAUCGAAUCUUUGAACGCACAUUGCGCCCCUCGGCAUUCCGUGGGGCAUGCCUGUUCGAGCGUCAUCUACACCCUCAAGCUCUGCUUGGUGUUAGGCGUCUGUCCCGCCUCCGCGCGCGGACUCGCCCCAAAUGCAUUGGCAGCGGUUCCUUGCCCCCCUCUUUGCGCAGCACAUUGCCAUUCGAGGCGGCGGCGGCCCGCGUCCAACAAGCUCAACCCCCCCGUCUUUGACCUCGGAUCAGGUAGGGAUACCCGCUGAACUUAAGC
RNAcentral lists this unclassified non-coding RNA (307 nucleotides) under plant metagenome. RNAcentral describes it as "partial contains 5.8S ribosomal RNA, internal transcribed spacer 2, and large subunit ribosomal RNA". The stretch from base 1 to 105 matches the Rfam family "5.8S ribosomal RNA", at positions 50 to 154 of the family's 154-position model. The record is from RNAcentral.